GCUUCUUCGUCUUCGUUGUCAUUGGUUCUUCUCUCUUUCAGAUCAUCAGGACUGCAACUAGUGGAGGCAUGGCUUAAAACCAAAUAGAAUUCAAGGCGGGAGGAAGCAAUUCUCAAAUUUGAAUAUCUCUUCUUCUCUUCUGACUUGUCUCUUUUUUCUUUCCCCUUAUACUGUAGAAUGUGUUAACUUUCUGUUUAUUACUACAUGUUAUGAAGAAUUUUGAGUCUUUUCUAAAAAUA
Non-coding RNA from Camelina sativa (false flax), 239 nucleotides. The record is from RefSeq and is a predicted model, not a curated record. Lineage: Eukaryota; Viridiplantae; Streptophyta; Magnoliopsida; Brassicales; Brassicaceae.